This is a long non-coding RNA of Osmerus eperlanus (European smelt), 203 nucleotides long. RefSeq lists it as uncharacterized. Lineage: Eukaryota; Metazoa; Chordata; Actinopteri; Osmeriformes; Osmeridae. The record is from RefSeq and is a predicted model, not a curated record. The transcript is spliced from 3 exons.
AGAAGGUGCACGUACAGAUGUGCAGAGUGUGCAUGGUGAGGGGGGCUGACGCCAGACUGUGGUGGGCCAUGUCUGAGGAGAGAUCCAGGCUCGGCCCAAAUGGAUUCCCCCACAUGGCUGCCAUGGUGAUGGCGGUGACCGGAGUUCAGCUCAUUGGAGGACAGGUGAGACAGUAUCAGUCUCAUGUAUGUUCUAAGACUGAC